AACGAACGCUGGCGGCAUGCCUAACACAUGCAAGUCGAACGAGAUCUUCGGGUCUAGUGGCGCACGGGUGCGUAACGCGUGGGAAUCUGCCCUUGGGUUCGGAAUAACAGCUGGAAACGGCUGCUAAUCCCGGAUGAUAUCGCGAGAACAAAGAUUUAUCGCCUGAGGAUGAGCCCGGGUUGGAUUAGGUAGUUGGUGGGGGAAAGGCCUACCAAGCCGACGAUCCAUAGCUGGUCUGGGAGGAUGAUCAGCCACACUGGGACUGAGACACGGCCCAGACUCCUACGGGAGGCAGCAGUGGGGAAUAUUGGACAAUGGGCGCAAGCCUGAUCCAGCAAUGCCGCGUGAGUGAUGAAGGCCCUAGGGUUGUAAAGCUCUUUUACCCGGGAAGAUAAUGACUGUACCGGGAGAAUAAGCCCCGGCUAACUCCGUGCCAGCAGCCGCCGUAA
RNAcentral lists this ribosomal RNA (449 nucleotides) under uncultured bacterium. RNAcentral describes it as "partial 16S ribosomal RNA". It matches the Rfam family "Bacterial small subunit ribosomal RNA", at positions 29 to 523 of the family's 1533-position model. The record is from RNAcentral.